Molecule: ribosomal RNA, 1089 nt
Filed under: Boana joaquini
Lineage: Eukaryota; Metazoa; Chordata; Amphibia; Anura; Hylidae
Description: partial 16S ribosomal RNA
Rfam family: Bacterial large subunit ribosomal RNA
Source: RNAcentral
CCAAACGAGCCUAGUGAUAGCUGGUUACUUGAUAAAAGAAUUUUAGUUCUACCUAAAGCUUCCAUAAGUAUAAUAAACUAACAUUAAUGCUUUAGAGUUAUUCAAAUAAGGUACAGCCUAUUUGAAUAAGGAAACAACCUAAACUAAUGGGUUAACUCUGCUAUAGUGUACCAAAGUGGGCCUAAAAGCAGCCACCUUCAACAAUAGCGUCAAAGCUUUUCUACACAAGCGCACUCAAUCUCUCAACCCAAUCUAAACCCUUUAUUUACAUCAAGUAAUUCUAUAUGUUUAUAGAACAUAAAAUGUUAAAACUAGUAACAAGAAGAAAACCCUUCUCUUAAAUGUGGGUGUAGGCCAGAAAGGAUAAACCACUGUCAAUUAACACUAAUGAUUCUUAAUUAGUAACGUCACAAGAAAACCCUAAUAAAACAAGUGUUAAACUAACACAAGAACAUUUCAAGAAAGAUUAAAAGAAAAAGAAGGAACUCGGCAAACACCAACCCCGCCUGUUUACCAAAAACAUCGCCUCUUGACAAGUAUAAGAGGUCCAGCCUGCCCAGUGACCUAGUUCAACGGCCGCGGUAUCCUAACCGUGCGAAGGUAGCGUAAUCACUUGUUCUUUAAAUGAGGACUAGUAUGAAUGGCACCACGAGGGUUACACUGUCUCCUUUUUUUAAUCAGUAAAACUAAUCUCCCCGUGAAGAAGCGGGGAUUUUUUUAUAAGACGAGAAGACCCUAUGGAGCUUUAAACAAAUUAACACUUGCUGCCCAAAAUACCUCUCCUAGGAGCACAAUAUAUAGCAUAGCAUUAUGAUUAAUAGUUUUUGAUUGGGGUGAUCACGGAGUAAAAAACAACCUCCAUGUCGAAGGGGUUCCCCCCUGAGCACAAAGCCACAACUUUAAGCACUAAAAAAUUAACGUUUAUUGACCCAAUAUUUUGAUCAACGAACCAAGUUACCCUAGGGAUAACAGCGCAAUCCACUUCAAGAGCCCCUAUCGACAAGUGGGUUUACGACCUCGAUGUUGGAUCAGGGCAUCCUAGUGGUGCAGCCGCUACUAAUGGUUCGUUUGUUCAACGAUUAAAGCCCU